Long non-coding RNA from Tympanuchus pallidicinctus (lesser prairie-chicken), 5316 nucleotides. RefSeq lists it as uncharacterized. Lineage: Eukaryota; Metazoa; Chordata; Aves; Galliformes; Phasianidae. The transcript is spliced from 3 exons. The record is from RefSeq and is a predicted model, not a curated record.
UGAAUACAGUUGUUUCAUUUACCUUUUAAACUUUCUCCUCUUCUCUUCCUAUACUUGAGGUGCUUGUAUUUGCAAUUACAUCCCACCUAGGAAGGUACUGGGGUGAUUUCUGCUUAUUGCAAUAUAAAAACAAGUCUUUGAUCUUUGGACUGUCGGACAUUUUAUUAAAAGAUUUAACAGCUAUCUGUAAGCAAUGGUUUUUACAGUAUUUCAGUAGGCUGAUGUGUAGCUGUUUUCGUGCUGUUCUUCACUGACUAACCAGCAAUGGCUACAGAUAAGAAUAGGAAUUGGUUAUUGAAAAUUGUGCAGUAAAAAUUUAACUGUAACCAAAUUUCAGACAAUUUCUGGUGUACUUCACAGCAUUUUUCAAUUAGGAGAGAACAUUCACAAAAUAGCGUUUUUUGUCCAGUUUUGAAAAGUACCAUUCAGAGACAGACGUGAAAUCCUUCAGUCAAAGUUCAAAGUAAGUGGUUAGAAAGCUGCUUGGUAUUUUUCAUUUUGUAAAUUCAAUCUGUUCUCAAUUUCAUAUACUCAUUUCACGUUCUGUGUUUCAGUGAACGUUGCUUUACAAGACAGUAACUUCCCAAAGUGCUUUGAAAAGCAUUCACUGAACAGUAUCUGGAACAGUUUUACUGUAAUGACAUUUUAGUCUCUGUAGUAAUUCAGGUAGUUGUGAGUUCAGCUUGUAUAUGUCACUAACCAGUGUCUUCUUAGGUGACAUUUGAUGGAGUAAAGAAAAAGGUGUUUGGACUUAAGAGUAUUUCAAGGCAAACAGAUCUUUGGUAGAGCAACCAACCCACCAGCAAUGAAGUGAUGUAUUUAAUGUGUGGCUGUGGAGAGGAAUGGAAUGGAUUUGCUUGUAGCAGUGGGCAUGUGCUGUACCCAUUACUAAUCACUAAUAAUGCCAGAACAUGCUUUUAUCUGACCAUCUGCCUCUUAUUUUUUUUUUAAAUGAACUCUGAUUUUAUCUCCACUUCUCUUGGCAGUAUGAGAAAAGGUACUUUGUUCCUAUGAAGAAUUUCUUUUAGAAGUUUUCUUAUUUUAAUCUGCUUUCUGGAAUAAUCUAAAUCCCAGAUGCAUAAUCUGUGAAUCUGUGUUUUAUUCACUGUCUUGAUAGAGGUGAUCAAAAGUGGAAAUAGAUGCAAGUGCUUUAUGUACCUAAGGGUACAUACAUCUAAAAACAGAUCAGUUAACAUCUUUUCAGAAGAAAGCUAGUUGACAAAGUUUUUUGAAAGUCAAGGCAGCUGAGUAUUCUUGUUUAAUCUGGUUUAAUCUGCAUGAGCCCACAGGCAUGGCCCGCCCAGCAAAAGAUAUUUCAUUUGAAGUCUUCUCAUCGAGAUGUUGUCUUAAGGUUUGCAGAACACUUAGAUUGUUUUUUGUUUUCAAGUGUCCGUAGAAGCUCCAGUUAUUGUUAUUUGAACAGCUCUUUUAGAUGCCUAUCCCUGAGCUAGUGCUCUUACUUCAGUUAAGACUGAAAGUGAUUAACAGUUUUGUUUACUUCCCCAGCAGCCGUGCCAGUUUAUGCACCCACUCCAGAAGAAUGACCUGGCAGUGAGCAAAACAAAACAUUUCAUUGGUUGUUUUUCAGCCACAUUGCCAAAAACUUUCAGCAUCACAGCGGAGGGCAAAGGACAAGUCAAAGAGAGCAUAAUUAAGCAAUGCAGCAUCAGCAAUCCUGCUAACUUAUGUUAGCAUGACCGCCAAAAUCAGUGCCAGUAGUCUGACACUGUGCUGUGUUCAUUGCAGCCCUUUUGAUACACCUAGCUGUGGUGAAGAGAAGUUGUUUUUCUAGUGGUUAAAAGAGAUCACAAGAGAACAUGUGGAAGGUUUCCAGCGAUGGGGCUACAACUACAGCCUCCCCUAGAAUUGUAGAUUAAAAAAAGGGGAUGACACAACACAUCUCUAGUUGCCAAAAAGAAGUGUUAUUCAAGGAGAGUGUUGGAGGGACGAGCAGUGUAUCAAUGUAUUCUUCUGGAGAAGCUGGCAGCCCAUGGCUUGGACAGAUAUACUCUUUGCUGGACAAAGUAUUGACUGGAGGGCUCGGCCCAGAGAGCAGUGAUGGAGUUAAAUUCAUCUGGUGACCUGUUGUGAAUGGUGUUUCCCAAGGGGCGGUGCUGGGACCUGUUCUACUUAGUGUCUUUAUUGAGGACCUGGAUGAGGGGAUUGAAAACCCUCCGUUUUCCGAUGACACCAAGUUGGGAGGAGACAUCAAUCUGCCUGAGGAUAGGAGGCUGGAUCACUGAGCUGAGGCCAAUCGGAUGAAGUUCAACAAGACCAAGUGCCAGGUCCUGCAUUUCGGCCACAAAAAUCCCACACAGCACUACAGGCUUGGGGCAGAGUGGCUGGAAGACUGUGUGGAAGAAAUGGACCUGGGAGAGUUGGUUGACACUUAACUGAACAUGAGCCAGCAGUGUGCCCAGGUGGCCAAGAAGGCCAAGGGCAUCCUGGCUUGUAUCAGGAAUGGUGUGGUGAGCAGGAAUAGGGAAGUAAUUCCGCCCCAGUACUUGGCACUGGUGAGGCUGUGCCUCGGGUGCUUUCAGUUUUAGGCCUCCUACUACAAGAAAGAGCGUGUCCAGAGAAGGACGCCUAAGCUGCUGAGGGGUCCGGAGCACAAGUCUUAUAGCGAGCAGCUGAGAGAAGUGAGAUCAUUUAGUCUGGAGAAGAGGAGGCUCAGGGGAGACCUCGUAGCUUGCUACAUAGCUACCUGAAAGGAAGUUGUGACAAAGUGAAUGUUGGCCUCUUCUCCCACGUAACUGGUGAUAAGACUAGAGGAAAUGACUUCAAGUUACGCCAGGGGAGAUUCAGGUUGGACAUUAGGAAAUACUUCUCUGAUAGAGUGGUUAGGUGCUGAAACAGGCCGCCCAGGAAGGUGGUGGAGUCACCGUUCUGGAGGUAUUCAAGAAAUGUUUAGAUGUACCAACGGACAUGGUUUAGUGGGGAAAUACUGGUAGGUGGACACUUAGAUUAGACGAUUUUGGGUCUUCCAAAUUAUUCUGUGAUUCUGUAACUAUCACAAAAAGGAGCAAAGUCUCCACAUCAUUAUCUUUUUUUUUUUUUUUUUUUUUCCUAAAAUAACUGAGAGCUACUGUUACUAUGAUCCUUAACACGUAACAAAAGUUAGUUGAAGAAACAGAAGUUUCUCCAACUGUGUCGCAAUUUUAAGUCUUGUAUAGCAUCCUAAAAAUAAUGGAAGCGAUUAUGGGAUGAUCAAUUCCAGGAAUAUGGUUUCUUUUCAAAGUAGCACCUAAAUAUACUGUGAUAACACAAUUGGACUAUCUGCUGCACUUAACAAGGUUCAUUUUCCAAAUGAUCUUUAAAACUUCUUAGGUUAGCACCUAGAAGUCUAAUGCUGUUUUCUCUAUUGAGCAUUAAUGAAGCCACAGCAAGAGUGAUAAGUCCAGUUCUGGGCCCUGCAGGUAACGGGGAGCCCUUGAUAUACUGGAGUGAGUCCUGCAAAAGGCCAAGGGAUGAGGAGACUGAAGCAUUUCUCCCAUGAGGGGAAGCUGAGAGCUGGGACUGCUCACCCUGGAAAAGGGGAGGCUUAAGGGGAUUUCAUCAGUGUUCAUAAAUGCCUGAAAUGAGGCUGAAAAGAGGACAGAACCAGGCUCUUGUCAGUGGUGCCCAGUGUUAGGAUAAGAGGCAACAGGCACAAACUGAAAUGCAGUAGGUUCCUUCUGAACACCAGGAAGCAUUUCCGUGCUGUGCAAGUUACAGAGCAUGGGCACAGGCUCCCAUGCAGAGGGACUGCAGAGAUCUUCAUUGGUAUUUAAAGGCUAAAAACAGGUUUCUAAUUUUGACUCAGGUUCACUGCAAACUGAUAAAGAUUUAUAUAUAUAUAUAUGUAUACAUAAUUCUAAAUUAAACAUGAUUUCUGUAAACACUGACCAUUUGAAUUGUUCAGAGUACUGGGGAUGACUGAGCUUAUGUAUAAAUAAUGUGUGCAUAAUUUGCUUGCUUCUGUUUGUGUAUUUAUUCUCAUACCUAAGGAUUUUAGAAACUCUUGAGUUUAAAAGCAGUGAGCCAAGGAUCUGAUACAACACUUCUCAGAUUGUCUCUUUUACAUUUUUCUGCAUUAAUUCAUGAAAAGAGGGAAUUUUACCUUCUCCUUUUGCACUUGAUGAGUAGAACUUGUUUUCCUUUGUGUGGAAUAUAUGUGCAUUGCUUACAUCAAUCUGGCUAAAAAGAAGCAACCAUCUGACAGGAAGAAAUUGGGAAAGAAUUUGCACUGAAUGUCAGGAAAACUUCCUCAGGAUGAACUAUAUUGUGAAAUGAUCUGCCAAGGAAAACAGAAGUGUUUAAGGCACAAAAUGAGACUGAGCCCAGUGUGAAAGGUAAUAUAGGAGGAAGAGUAAGUACUUACUAUUGUUGACUUAAUCGGUGACCGCAGACCCUUCUUAGCCUGAGCCACAGUUAAUCAGAUUGUCAUGAAAUAUUGUUUAGUAAAUUAUUUCAAAGAUGUCUGUAAUGAUAAUGAGCUGAGAAUACCAGAUGCUUUUCACAAAGACAUAGUCUCUGUUUAUUUAAGGGAGUGGAAUUAUCAGGAAGAGGAGAGAGUCAGAAGUAGGACAUUCUCUAAUGAAUAUCUGCUUUCUGAGCUGUAUUUAAGAGUUAUUAGCCAUGACAUUUUGUGUGAGGCUAUAAGAAGAUAGCUUUUAUUAUUCUCAGGAGCCUAAAUUUUGUGGAGAGUUUUGUAGCUGGCCAAUUUUCCUGUUUCUUUAUAGAAAACAAGGAAGCUCAUAAGUCAAAUAUACUUGUUUCUAGCAAUUUGGAAAAUUUAAAAUAAAAACUUAGCUCUAAUAAUCAUAUUUCUGCCAACAUCUCUCGGCUUCCUUCUUGGGACAUCUAUUUAUUUAUUUCCGUCUCUGACUGUCUCUCUAUUAAAUGUUCAUCUAGGGGUUUUUCUUUGUGUUGUUGUUUUUUUUUUGUUGUUGUUGUUUCUUUCAGUUAAAAAUUUGGGAUGUUUCUGUUUUGGUCUGGUAAGAAUUUGCUGAUGACAUUCAGGUUCUCAAGCUCCUGAUCUCUUUUAGAAGACUGUUGCUGAAGUGCAGUCUUCUUGUCCCAUCUGCCUUAAUUUCUUCAUGUUCUCUUUCCAAAGAAGGCACUCGCUUUCUGUUUAUUGAGGAAAGCAUAUGACAAGUUAGCUUCAGGAUUUCUGACAAAUGACACUUUUUAAAAAUAAAUGCUGUGGUGAGUCUGACAGCUCAGUAUCCCUUAAGGGAUAAUGGGCAGUAAUUAAAAAACAUUGUUUUUACUGUUCAUAGUAAGUCAGAAGAUUCUUGCUUUGGAUAGAGAAGUGUUUAUUUGUUCUUUUAUUGA